GGCGGCAUAGCCAAGUGGUAAGGCAUGGCUCUGCAAAAGCUUGAUCCCCAGUUCAAAUCUGGGUGCCGCCU
Molecule: transfer RNA, 71 nt
Filed under: Candidatus Sericytochromatia bacterium
Lineage: Bacteria; Bacillati; Candidatus Sericytochromatia
Description: tRNA-Cys
Rfam family: tRNA
About the family: Transfer RNA (tRNA) molecules are approximately 80 nucleotides in length. Their secondary structure includes four short double-helical elements and three loops (D, anti-codon, and T loops).
Source: RNAcentral